CGGCCGGUACGCCCUGGGCCACCCACGUACUACAAUGGCCGGUACAGAGGGCAGAUACACAGCGAUUUGAUGAGAAUCUGUGAAACACCGGUGUCAGUUCUGAUCGGAGUGUGCAACUGGACUCUAAGAAGCUGGAAUCGCUAGUAAUCGCGCAUCACCCAAGGCGCGGGGAAUACUGUUCCCGCGCCCUCGUACACCCCGUCCCGUCAAUCCAUGGCACUCGGGGGUACCUGACGUCGGCGACCGUAACAGGAGCUGCCUAGGGUAAAUCAGGUAACUAGGGCUAAGUCGUAACAAGGUAGCC
This 304-nucleotide ribosomal RNA is filed under the name uncultured bacterium. Its description in RNAcentral is "bacterial SSU rRNA". It matches the Rfam family "Bacterial small subunit ribosomal RNA", at positions 1196 to 1501 of the family's 1533-position model. The record is from RNAcentral.